RNAcentral lists this long non-coding RNA (294 nucleotides) under Medicago truncatula (barrel medic). Its description in RNAcentral is "long non-coding RNA (MTRU_LNC008433)". The record is from RNAcentral. Lineage: Eukaryota; Viridiplantae; Streptophyta; Magnoliopsida; Fabales; Fabaceae.
UCUCUUUUUCCAAAUCUGUUCAUCAGACUAACACAAACAACAAUUUCAAAAAUCUUCAACCAACAAUCAUCAAUCUCGUUUUCUUUCAAACCAUACCAACAUCAAUUUCGUUUUUCUCGAUUAACACCGAACCGGAUCGGAAUCAAAAAGAAGAAGGAACAAAACCGAAUCGGAAAAGGAACAGAUCAGAAGCAGAGACAGAGGAAGAGGUAGAAAGUUCUUCCUUCGUUUUCUUUAAGUCCAGAUCUAGCAUUUUUCAAACAUUUUCUUUAAAAACUAAGUUGAUUUUCGUAA